This 236-nucleotide unclassified non-coding RNA is filed under the name Hevea brasiliensis (rubber tree). The record is from RNAcentral. Lineage: Eukaryota; Viridiplantae; Streptophyta; Magnoliopsida; Malpighiales; Euphorbiaceae.
AACUCUAGACGCUAGUAUUAUUGGUUUCUUGUUGCUUGCACAAAAGUUAAAAUGGCAUAUCUCCACGCUAAUGUGAUUGGAUAUUCUCUGUCAGUACCAGACGCUUGCACGCCAUUAAUAUUGGCAUCCCUAGGAGCCUGCACACCAUUUAUAUUGCUGUCCCCAGUCCAUGACGUGACAAAAUGCAGAGAUUCUUUGCAAAAGCAUGCCGUACGCUAUUAUGGGUAGCGUCCUAG